This 74-nucleotide transfer RNA is filed under the name Microvirga mediterraneensis. RNAcentral's name for it is "Microvirga sp. Marseille-Q2068 tRNA-Met". It matches the Rfam family "tRNA". From Rfam's summary of the family: Transfer RNA (tRNA) molecules are approximately 80 nucleotides in length. Their secondary structure includes four short double-helical elements and three loops (D, anti-codon, and T loops). The record is from RNAcentral. Lineage: Bacteria; Pseudomonadati; Pseudomonadota; Alphaproteobacteria; Hyphomicrobiales; Methylobacteriaceae.
GGGUCCGUAGCUCGAGGUUAGAGCGGGCCGCCCAUAAUGGUCUGGUUGGGGGGCAAGUCCCUCCGGGCCCACCA